RNAcentral lists this transfer RNA (64 nucleotides) under Cryptolestes ferrugineus. Its description in RNAcentral is "tRNA-Ile". The record is from RNAcentral. Lineage: Eukaryota; Metazoa; Arthropoda; Insecta; Coleoptera; Laemophloeidae.
AAUGAAGUGCCUGAUAAAAGGGAUAUUUUGAUAGAUUUAGUUAUGUAAAGUCUUACCUUCAUUA